AACAUGCAUACAGAGACUAUAAUAGAUGCAGUGAUGAUAAUUUAAG
RNAcentral lists this non-coding RNA (46 nucleotides) under Trypanosoma brucei brucei. The record is from RNAcentral. Lineage: Eukaryota; Euglenozoa; Kinetoplastea; Trypanosomatida; Trypanosomatidae.